GCGCGAGCAAGGGAGGAUCAGAGAGAGAGGGAGACACAGAAUCUGAGCUGUCAGCACAGAGCCGGACGCGGGGCUUGAACCUAUGAACAGUGAAAUCAUGACCUGCAUCAAAGUCAAGAGUCAGACACUUAACCAACUGAGCCACCCAGGUGCCCCCAGGCUGAUAGAGAUUCUAUGUUAAUAGACCUCUAUUUUGCUGACUGCUUCAGCAGGGGAACACAGCAUAACAACCAUACACAGGCUCUUAAAGCUCCUCACUAAAAAUUAUGCACAUCACUUCUUACAUCUGUUUAGUCAAAGUAAGUCUUGUGGCCAUACCAAACCUCAAAAGGGGCACAGAAAUACCAUCCCGACCACGUGCCCAGAAGGUGGAGAGCCAGAAAUAUUUGAUGAACUCAGUAUUGACCAUCUCAAUAGGUUUUAUGUUAAACACCCCCAAUCUUAAAAGAAAACAUUACCAACUGGGCUCCUUUGUAUUAAGAGACAAUGUUAUCUGGAAGAAAAUGUGGCUAAAGCGCCCCUGACUUAACCAGUGGUCUUUUUACCUUCCGUAAUUGAAAAGAGUUCCUAUGGCUUUGCAGGUGCAGCCAAAUUUGGGAAAGCCAUGUGAUGCUUGCUGCUCUGCCUUUCAUCUCAGGCUUUGAUAAAAAAUGUCCAUCUCCUCUCUGAAUUCACAGCUUGCCAGGCGGUCUGUUGCAGUGGAGGAUUUCUGGAAGGUCCAUAACCCCACUGAGGGAUUUGAAACUGUACUUCAGCAGUACAGCUCAAGAGUUUAUUUCCUGAAUUUAUGCACCCCUCCCCCCCAAAAAAAGCCAGACUCUUCCUUCCAUCUUUCCAAUCUUGUCUCUACCCACUUCACAUAAGCACUCAUACAUUCAUCCUAAUACACACGCCCCAUCGAAUGACUCUCUUUCGGGACCUGGUGUUGUAAUUCUACAUUUGUUCCCCCCUCCAAAGUCCUUCCCAUCAUUCAAAGAUCUACUCAAAUUUUGUCUUUUUCUAGAUCUCACACCCUGCCAAGUUCUGAUGCCAUUUGGCUUUUUUCCCCUUCUGUUUCUCAUUGUAUUUUUGUUGUUGCUGUUUUUGUUCUAUUAGGCACUUCCUGGCUUCACUGAAUUGAAUAAUUCUCUGUAUGUGUGUGUAUCAACACAACUGUGUGAAAAGAAGAGUAUCUUACUUAGCUUUGUAUAUCAAAAUGGCCCCCUCUCCUUUCCCCAGUGUCUGGCCUAGACUCUGGUCCUCAGUAAAUGUUUGUAAUAAUAUACUCUCUGUGUUGGAAUAUCUUCUUUCUGAACCUACCAACAAUUGGAAACACUUCUAGCUUUAAUCAACUUUCUUUUCUCUUCUGAUCUUAUUAUGUGUGGUCUCACUGUGAGCGUUUCAGUUAGUUCAAAUCUAAAUGCCAGAUUUACUUCCAAGAACCCUAAAUCUUAACAUUUAAAUAUGAGAUUAUAUCUUCUGGGCUCAUAUCUUGUCUGUAUCUUGUGGGGUAAAGGGCUGAAGGAAGGAGAUUGUUGAACACUCAAUAUGAGAAGAACCUUUCUGUAUUAGUUGGGGUUAUUAAUGUGAGUUGUUAUAACAAAAAACCCCCAACAUCUCAGUGGCUCAACGCAAUUUUUCAUGCACAUCACAGUCCAAGGCAGGACAUGUGGCUCCUCUCUAAGUAGUGACUUGGGACCCAAACUUCUUCCAUGUUGUAGUGGGGCCAUCACCUAGGGCCUUAUGGAUUCUCUGCAUUCAGCUGACUGACAGGCCCAGACAGCCCAUGGAAUUUGCAGGGGUUUUAUGCCCAUGCCUGGAAACAGGAGGCAUCACUUUAGCCUAUAAUUCUCUGGCUAACACCUCCACCUAGUAAUAAGGCAUGCUGGGAAAUCGAUUCCACUGUUGUACCAAGACAAAGAAGAGAGGAUUGGUAAACAUCUACCUUGUUACUUUCAAAGGGCCUACGAAGUCAUUUCUUCACUAUGCAAUAUUGAGACAUUGUUCCAACACUUUCUUGAACAGGGAGAUUUGAAUCCAUGUAAAGGGGGCAUGGGCAGCUUCCCUGUAACCAUGCUGAAUUUCUAGUCCUCUCCUUUGUCUAUAAAUCCCAGAAUUUACUCUCAAAGCCACCCCUCCCCCAAACAACAACAACAACAAAAAGAAUAAAGAGGUAGGUAGGCAGUCUCUUCCAUCAGGUUAUUCUCUUCUCUCCCUGAACCCAGGCUACAGGAAACGUUCUCAGAGAAUGUUUCUCAACCUUAACAGAGCAUCAGGGUCAAUGUGAGCUUCUGAACCAUUCCAUUGAACAUUACUCCCUCCUCCUAGAAACACUUCCUUCCCUCAGCCUCCAGGAUCCCACUCUUUCUUGACUUUCCUCCUGUCUAUCCCAUCCUAUCUCCUUUUUCUGUUUUUUCUUCUUUCCACUAGCUUUAAACAGUAGGGUGCCCCAGGGCUCAGCCCUGGAAACUUGUCUCAUCUCUGUCCAAGCUCAUUCCCUUGGUGAUUGUAUUAGUUUUCUAUUUACGGCAUAAUACGUUACCACAAACCAAGUGGCUUACAUGGACAUCCCUUGUCGACUCACAGUUCUGUAGGUCAGAAGUCAAUGCGUGGUGUGGAUGGGUCCUCUUCUCAGGGUCUCAGAAACGGAAGUCAGCGGGUCAGCUGGGCUGCGUUCUCAUCUGCAGGUUCUGGAGAAGACCUGCUUUCCAAGCUCAGUCAUGCUCAGCUUUAGAGUUCAGUUCCACAAGAUUGUAGGACUGAGGCCCCCAUUCUCCCUCUGGUUUUCAGCUGGGAACUGCCCUUGGCUCCUACAGGCUGCCUACAUUCCUUGCCAUGUGGCUCCCAUCCUCCAGCUUCAAAGCUAGAGAUGGAGACUUUCUUAUGCAUGUAAUCCCUCUUGCUUCAAAUUCCUCUCCUCUCCCAUCUCUGCCCUCUAGAGCCAGAUUCAGAGGGCUCAUGGAAUUAGGUCAGGUGCACUUGAUUAUCCCCUUUGACUAAAUCGAAGUCAGCUGAUUAGUAACAACUAUGGACUGAAUGUUGGUAUCUGCUCCCCAUUCAUAUGCUGAGCCCCUAACCCCUAGCCAGUGUGAUGGUAUUUGGAGAUGGGGCCUUUGGGAGGUAAUUAGGGCUUGAAGAGGUCAUGAGGGUGGGGCCUUCACGAUGGAUUUAGUGCCCUUGUAACAAGACAUGCCAGGGGGCUUCCUCUUUGUGCCCUCCCACCCCAUCCCUCAGCUGCUUUCUUUCUCUCGCUACCAAGCAAGGACACAGCAAGGCAGUGGCCAUCUGUAAACCAGGAAGAGACUUCUCCCUGGUAACUGACCAUGCUGGCACCCUGGUCUCAGACUUCUAUCCUUCCAGUCAGGGGGAUUUUGUUACGGCAGCCCUAGCGACCUACACAGUAACCUUAGUUAUACCUGCAAAAUCCCCUUUGCCAUAUACUGUAACGUAGUCAUAGGAGAAAAAUCUCACUAUGUUCACAGAAUCCACCCAUAGUUAAGGGGAAGAGAUUCUAAAAUCUCUGGAGAGGGUGAUAAUGUUAGAAUGGUGUUCACCUCAAUAAUCCCACUUAGUCUCAUGGCUUUAAAUAUCAUCUAUAUGCUCAUGAUUCUCAAAUUUAUUUCUCCAGUGUAGACCUGUCUCCAAACCUAGACUUUCUAUCUACCUCCUAGACGUUUCCACUUGGAUGUUUUCCAGGCGCCUCAAACUUCACAUAGAUGCCGCCAAAUUCUCCAUCUUCCCACGCAGACCUGCUCCUCACGUAAUCUUUCGACCUCAGCCAUCAGGAAGUCCUCUGGAGUCUAGCUUCAAGGGCCCACGCCGUCAUAAUCUCUCACGUGAAUUACUGCAACAAUCCCUGUUCCAGUUUCUAUUGCUGCCUAAACAAAUCACUGCAGAUGUAACAACUUCAAACAACACCAACUUCUUAUCUUGCAAAUGUGAAGUGCCCAGAACAGUGUCAGACGCGCAGAAGCACCCAGGAAAUGUUUGUCAGAUGAUCGAAUCCAUGAGUAUGAAAUGGAGAUCCUGGCCUGCCCUACAUGGAGGAGAUGUUGGGUUGGGACCAGCAGAAAGGAGUUGGACCUUCCGUCCCAUGGAGUGCCCUCUACUCGUCGGACAAAACUUGCCCUGGAUUACUAAACUCAAAUUAAAUAUCGCUGUUUAAUGACUGAAACAAUCGUGAGCCUUUUGGACUCAUCCCCAGCCCCUGCCCUGUGGCCUUUCCCAAACUCGCCGUCUUCUAAUCGAUACAUCCUCCAAGAGUCUCCUCACUGACACCAAGCCCUGGACCUACCCGGUGAGAGACUUGUAGCUACCGCCUUGGAAAUGAUUAUUAACACACUGCAAGUAAGAGAUCUUCUCCACUGGAGGAGCAAUUCUAAAAAUA
Molecule: long non-coding RNA, 4366 nt
Organism: Acinonyx jubatus (cheetah)
Lineage: Eukaryota; Metazoa; Chordata; Mammalia; Carnivora; Felidae
Exons: 4
Source: RefSeq, a predicted model, not a curated record